This 241-nucleotide ribosomal RNA is filed under the name uncultured bacterium. Its description in RNAcentral is "partial 16S ribosomal RNA". It matches the Rfam family "Bacterial small subunit ribosomal RNA", at positions 92 to 334 of the family's 1533-position model. The record is from RNAcentral.
CGACCGGCGCACGGGUGAGUAACGCGUAUGUAAUCUACCUGUAACAGAGGGAUAACCCGGAGAAAUCCGGACUAAUACCUCAUAGCACAUAUUAUUCGCAUGAAUUUUAUGUUAAAGAGACUCGGUUACAGAUGAACAUGCGUUCCAUUAGCUAGUUGGCGGGGUUACGGCCCACCAAGGCAACGAUGUAUAGGGGUUCUGAGAGGAAGGUCCCCCACACUGGUACUGAGACACGGACCAG